UGGCCAGAUAUAGUUGCAGGUAUUCAAACGUUCAAGAGGGGCUGCAUUUGGCGAGUGGGAACUGGAUCUAAUAUCAGUAUUUGGAAUGAUCCUUGAUUACCUACGAGUGCCACUAGAAAACUGAUCACAAAUAGAGGUGCAACAAUGCUAUCAAAGGUUUAUGAGUUGAUAGACCCGCAUACGGGACAGUGGGAUGAGGAACUAAUCCGGGACAUCUUUUCCCCGGUUGAUGUUAACAGGAUUCUACAGAUCCCUUUAAAUGCUCACUUGGUGGAAGAUUUUGUGGCGUGGAACUUCACACGGUCAGGCAAUUUUACUGUGCGUUCAGCUUACCAUAAGGAGUUUGAACACCAGUAUGGUACGAGGUGGAGGCGAGCAGAUGGGCAAGGUUCAGAAAAUAUUAAUCCAAUGUGGAAGGACAUGUGGAAACUAAAGAUUCCUGGAAAGAUAAAACACUUCGGUUGGAAAGUAUUGCAUGGUUCACUUCCUUGCUUGGGCGUUUUGGCAAAUAAACAUAUUCCAUGCUCAGGGCUUUGUCCGAUUUGCAAGACUGGAGUAGAGGAUAUACAACACUGUUUAUUUUUGUGUCCGCGAGCAGCAUCAAUAUGGAGACAGCUGGGUCUUGAGAGUAUUAUAAAAGAAGCAGUGGAAGAAGACAUGUCAGGCUCCACCACAAUUGAAAUCAUGUCUAAGUUACAGGGCGAUGAUCAUGAGCUGCCAAUAGCAGACUUGUCACUGGUUACGGCGUGGUAUAUUUGGUGGCAGCGACGACAGCUUGUUAAGGGAAUUGUGGUCCAAGAUCCAAUGCAAACAACCUUAGCGAUUAGAGUUCUGACGACAAACUAA
This 846-nucleotide ribosomal RNA is filed under the name Triticum aestivum (bread wheat). RNAcentral's name for it is "partial small subunit ribosomal RNA". Lineage: Eukaryota; Viridiplantae; Streptophyta; Magnoliopsida; Poales; Poaceae. The record is from RNAcentral.